Vespa mandarinia (Asian giant hornet) is the source of this 2592-nucleotide long non-coding RNA. NCBI's taxonomy places the organism in Eukaryota, Metazoa, Arthropoda, Insecta, Hymenoptera, Vespidae. The record is from RefSeq and is a predicted model, not a curated record.
CUCGACUGAGCAAGACGUUUAUCGAUGGAAGUUGCCAUUCGUUGAAUCUUGGUACCAUUUUCCAUGAUAUCAUAAGUCGACCGAACUCGAUAAUGAAGAAGAAAAUAAAAGAAGAGAGAGAGAGAGAGAGAGAGAGAGAGAGAGAGAGAAAAAAGAGAGAGAAGAAAAGAAAGAAAGAGAGAAUCAACUCCCCCGAGUAACAAAUGGCCGACUUUACGAGAAGCGAAGAGACACAGGACAGAGUGGUCUCCGGUUUCCAUCUCGGUUUCGGGAAAACUUGCGCCGGGUUGCACGUGUUUCUGACAUUAUCAUCGCGGCCAGUAAAUCGUACGACGAGUGCCCAGAAUCCUGCUGACCUGAUCCCGAGGAAAAACAUCUGCCGGUAUUUCGAUGAGAGAAGGAAGGAAAAUGUCCAAGAAUCAUCAAGAAGAAACAUAUUCGAGAAGUGUCUAUAAAAGAAAAAAAGAAAAAAAAAAAAAAAAGAAAGGAAAGAAAAGAAAAAAAAAGUCCAUUCGUACGAGAUAAUAAAGAAGAAAGAUUCGAUGGACGAUAAUACUUAUUAAAAGGAUUUCGAAUUGAUCGUUCAUUUAAGAAAAAAGAAAAAAGAGAAAAAAGAAAGGAACGAAAAAAAUAAAAUAAUAAAAAACCAUAGGAACACAAAUAGGAAGAAAGAGUGAAAUGGUGUGAGAGAGAAAAGGAAUAUUAUAAAGAGAGAUAAAAAAAAAAAAAAGAAAAGAAAAAGGAGAAGAAAAAGAAAAAGAGAGAGAAAGAUAAAAGAGUAGAGGAAAGAGAUAAAAGAAACGGUACGUGUAACAUAACUAAAAAACAAUGGUAAGAAAAAAGAAUAGGAGAAACGGGAAAGACGAUAGAAUAUAAGAAAGAGAUAGGGCUAAGGAGAAGAGGACAUAGGAUCGCGAAGGAAGAGAGGAGUUAGGCGGAGGGAAAGAGAGAAAGAGAGAGGGAGAGAGAGAGAGAGAAAGUGAGGCCGCCUAAAAUAGGGGGCAAUAAAUUGUCCACUAUCUUCGCCGGGUUAAACACAUUAAAGCGUCUUGAGAUAAGGCUGCCUGGCGGCCCGUUUGUUCACGGGGUUCCUGCCGACCGACAUGAAGGACUGCAACGUGUUAUCCGCGCCAGGAAGAGGGUAAGAGAGAAAGGAGAGUGCCGUACGAUGAGAGAAAGAGUGAGAAAGAGAAAGAGAGGACCUCUCUCUCUCUCCCUCUCUCUCUCUCUCUCUUUCUCUUUCUCUUCGCUAUUAUUCUUGCCACCAGUUGGUGCACUCGCACUCCGACACGAAUUCUAAGCGCACGAGUGUUGCAUCGAGAGCCCUUAACACCGUCAGUAUACCGCCGACUGUGUUCACCCAACUCUACCGACACUUUUCGUCUCUCUCUAUCUAUGUCUCUCUCUCACUCACUCUCUUUCUCUCUCUCUCUCUCUCUCUUUCUUCCUUUCUUUCUUUCUUUCUUUCUCUGUCUUCUUUACUUUCUCGAUAUAAGGAAAGAGAGUGGCACCGCGAUAAUGUCCUUAAAGUGCCUUCCAACGUAUUCACGAUGAACAUGGCUAAACGAAAUUUACAAUGGCCGUUUUUAACGAAUUCAAGGAGAACUGAAAUGAUUAUAAAUUUGUAUUAAAUAUUAUCAGAAAAAGACAGAGAGAGAGAGAAGGAGAAGGAGAAAAAAAGAACAUUAAUUUCUCAUUCGCGUUCGUUUUUAUGUCGGUUAAAAUCGGUAAAUCACAAUGCAAGACUACUGCCCGUGGCAUCUGGUUGGCAUACCGUAAAAUAACGGGUAACUUUUCGUUAAUAAGAAAAAUGAAGUCGAGACGAGAAGGCAAGAAGACGAGAUGAGAACGACGGCUGCGAGCUUACCGAUUUUUCCGCACCUACGAAGGGUUAACUUUGUGACUUCCCUUUGGAUAAUGCGGUCGACAGACGGUGUCGACUUAAGAACGACACUCCUGAGCUUACGAACGAAGGAUAUUGUAGAAGAGACGAGGAUGCCAAUAGAGAAUUCCCAAUUACUCUGCAAUUAAGAAGCGAUUAUUUUGCAUAGACGAGAGAGAAAACUCUCUCUCUCUCUCUCUCUCUCUUUCCGAGCGUAAACCAUCGCCAUCAGGCGUCAGGCAAAAUGCGCCGCGUGUCACCAAGAACUUACGCCCGAAUAAUAUUUUAACGAGCCUCGUAAAACGAUUGCGAGGAAUAUGAUGCGAGAGGAGGGCUCGAUACCUCACAAUCUUCUGCUCUUUUCCCCUCUUUAACACAACGAACGAACGAACGAACGAACGAACGAACGAACGAACGAAUGAACGAACGAACGAAUGAAGGAACGAACGAACGAAGGAACGAAGAAUGGAGGUUCAAGGAAAAAGGCACUUUGCAUAUUCGUCCCUUCUUAAUAAUCUUCGAGGCGAUUAAGUACUACGUGGAUCUUCUUCUAACCAAAAGGAAAGCCAUUAUGGUGAGAUUAUCGAACAGAGAGAGAGAGAGAGAGAGAGAGAGAAAGAGAGAGAGAGAGAGAGAGAGAAGGAGAGAAGGAGAAAGAGAGGGAGAGAGAGAGAGAGAGAAAUAUCGUGGAUAAAGCUUUUGACAAAAAA